UACGGAGGGAGCUAGCGUUGUUCGGAAUUACUGGGCGUAAAGCGCGCGUAGGCGGCUUUGUAAGUUAGAGGUGAAAGCCCGGGGCUCAACCCCGGAACAGCCUUUAAGACUGCAUCGCUAGAAUCCGGGAGAGGUGAGUGGAAUUCCUGGUGUAGCGGUGAAAUGCGCAGAUAUCAGGAAGAACACCCGUGGCUAAGGCGGUUCUCUAGUACGGUACUGACGCUGAGACGCGAAAGCGUGGGGAGCGAACAGG
This 253-nucleotide ribosomal RNA is filed under the name uncultured bacterium. RNAcentral's name for it is "partial 16S ribosomal RNA". It matches the Rfam family "Bacterial small subunit ribosomal RNA", at positions 524 to 776 of the family's 1533-position model. The record is from RNAcentral.